Myotis davidii is the source of this 76-nucleotide non-coding RNA. The record is from Rfam. NCBI's taxonomy places the organism in Eukaryota, Metazoa, Chordata, Mammalia, Chiroptera, Vespertilionidae.
GAGACACCUUUAUGGAGCAGGACUUUCUUCAGUGGGGCUUUGGUGUUCACUGAGACUGCCUCUUGAGUCUGUCACU